CGAGAUCGUGACCUGGCUGAAGUCGGACGCUUAACCGACUGCACCACCCAGGUGCCCCAGGGCUACUGACUUUCUAUGUAUGAUGACUUUAACAGUGAAAAUUGCGGACUCCUUCCUGAAAUUUCUACAAUGUGAAGUUGCUAAAGUGUAGAAAGGGAGGCUGUACACCGAGGCAGCGAGUGUAGAGGAGACCCAGGAUAGAAAUUGUCUGAGACCCUCAGAGCUGUCAGGUUCUGCGACAAGCAUCCCUAACCACUGUCCAGCACCGGGCAACUUUCAGGAAUGCUAAUUGGACAUACUUGGCCAAGUUGAACAAGAUUCCAAAAUGAGCUUUUAACGAAUGGCUGAAUUAUCUGAUAUCACUAAAUAUCUGCCAGGAACUGCACUAGGAUGGGACAAUAUAUCUGAAAGAGAAUCAAGCACUUUGGUUCUCAAGGACAUCACAGGCUAAUAAGAUUUAGACACUCAAGCUUCUGAUGACAGUACAGACUGCUGAGGACAAGACUAAUAUUCCAAUAUAUGUCAUCCCAAGUAUGAGAGGAGUUGCUCCUGGUGAGGCUGUGCAAACCCAGACUCUUCUCCUAACCACCUGAGCAUUGGUUUAUGUCAGGUCUGUUUAGCAGUUGGAGGAAAAAAUAACAGGGGAUUUGAAAACCUGAGUCCCAAUGUCUCCUAAGGGACCAGUGUGCUAUGAGAAAGCACCCUCUCCAUGGACGCUUCCAGACUGCAUACAAGGAAAAUGCCAAAGAAACUUCUCAAGCUUUCAGGAUGAGUAGCCAUCAUUCACAAAGUGUAAUUAUAUGUUUACUUCAUGGAAUCUAAGCUUUGUGAGAGCAGAAUCAUGUUAUUUGUUUGCUUUAUCUUUAGCUCCUAUCAUACAGUGGCAUGUGAUAUGUGUUGUUAACAGAGUGAUUGUCAUUUAGAAGAAUCCACAGACCAAACUAGUUAAAAAUAAAAGGAGAUUUUUUCUUCCAAGUUUUUAUUUAAAUUUGUCAGUUAAUAUACAGUGUAAUACCACCUCUGGGUGUAAGAUCCAGCAAUUCAUCACCUACACAAAACACCCAGUGCCCAUCACAACAAGUGCCCUGCUUAAUACCCAUCACUCAUUUAACCAACCUCCUGCAGC
This is a long non-coding RNA of Felis catus (domestic cat), 1126 nucleotides long. RefSeq lists it as uncharacterized. The transcript has 4 exons. Lineage: Eukaryota; Metazoa; Chordata; Mammalia; Carnivora; Felidae. The record is from RefSeq and is a predicted model, not a curated record.